GACGAACGCUGGCGGCGUGCUUAACACAUGCAAGUCGAACGGAAAGGCCUGCUUUCCCUUGUGGAUUGCGGGUACUCGAGUGGCGAACGGGUGAGUAACACGUGAGUGAUCUGCCCCCAACUUGGGUAUAAGCCUGGGAAACUGGGUCUAAUUCCCGAUAGGACUGCAGGGUGGUGCCUGUGGUGGAAAACGAUUUUCUAGUGGUUGGGGAUGAGCUCGCGGCCUAUCAGCUUGUUGGUGGGGUAAUGGCCUACCAAGGCGGCGACGGGUAGCCGGCCUGGGAGGGUGGACGGCCACAUUGGGACUGAGAGACGGCCCAGACUCCGACGGGAGGCAGCAGUGGGGAAUAUUGCACAAUGGGCGGAAGCCUGAUGCAGCGACGCCGCGUGGGGGAUGACGGCCUUCGGGUUGUAAACUCCUUUCGACCGCGAGGAAGCCACCUGGUUGGAAGGGUGGUGACGGUAGUGGUAGAAGAAGCACCGGCUAACUACGUG
This 494-nucleotide ribosomal RNA is filed under the name uncultured bacterium. RNAcentral's name for it is "partial 16S ribosomal RNA". It matches the Rfam family "Bacterial small subunit ribosomal RNA", at positions 28 to 507 of the family's 1533-position model. The record is from RNAcentral.